GGUCUUUUGUCUUUUUAGGGCUGCACCAGCAGCAUAUGGAGGUUCCCAGGCUAGGGGUCCAAGCAGAACUGAAGCCUCGAGCCUACACUGCAGCUCGCAGCAAUGCAGGAUCCCCAACUCACUGAGCAAGGCCAGGAUCUAGCCCAUGUCCUCAUGGAUGCUAGUCAGGUUUGUUAACUGCUGAGCCACGACGGGAACUCCUCAAGUCUCCUCUUUUAAGGGCACUAAUCUCUUCAUGAAGGCUCCACCCCCAUGACCUCAUUACCUCCCAAAGGUUCUACCUCCAAAUACAAUCACAUUGAGGGUUAGAGUUUCUAUUUUGAAGGGACACAAACAUUCAGUCCAUACAAUCACCCUAGAGAAAAACUUUCAAGAAACCUGCCCAGUGGUCACAAACUAUGAAACUUAACACAAGUACAGCAAGUAAGGACACAUACCCAGUUAUCACUGGUACAAAACCAUAAACAAACAUAAGUAGUAAACAGAGGACAGACACUAAGGAGAGAAACAGGUAGACUAACACAAACAUAUUAUUUUAGUUGCACAUUGAAAACCUUUUAAAACAAAUAAGACCGGACAUUAUAGGAGUUUCCACUGUGACACAGUGGGUUAAGAAUCUGAUUGCAGUGGCUUGAGUUGCAGCAGAGGUGCCAGUUUGAUCCCCAGCCAGGCACAGCUGGUUAAGGGACCAGCAUUGCCACAGCUGCGAUCUAGGUCACAGAUGGGGCUUGGAUUCAAUCUAUAGCUCAGGAACUUCCAUGUGCCAUGGGUACGACCAUAGAAAAAAAUUAGCAUUAUGGUAUAAAUGCCAAAAUGCAGGAGAUGCAGUAAAGUAUCAUUAAAGGAGGAAGUGCCUCUUUCAGACACUUAUUUAUCCUUCACCUGAUAAGCAAUUAAUGCAGAGAUACAAACAUGCCUUGAAAUAGUUUCAUGAAUCACUUUUCCUGGUUUCUAUACAAAGGUAAAAUCAUUCAUGUCCUAGAUCCUGAGUUACCGUUGAAUGAAAUAUAACACUAAAAAUAAUUUCCAAAUGUAUUAAGUGCCUCGAGUGCCUCUCAUAUGCCAGACAUGGUGCUAUAUGCUUUAUGUACCUCAUUCCAUGUAAUAGCCAGAGAAAUUCUUUUAUGCCAGUAUAUUUAUUAUCUUUUUUACAGGUGAGGAAAGCAAGGCUCACAAAAGACAAGCCAGGUUUUCAAGGCUGCACUGGGAAUCACAGAUUUAUAAUUCGCAUCUUACUAAUCAAUUCUUUUCCAGUCUAAGACUCUAUGAAAUUUCAUGGAUCCUUACUCAAAAGGAUAUUUAAGCAGAAAUACUAACCUAAAAGUUUAGUAAAAUCUGAUAUAUUCUCUAGGCAUCAAUGGAGCUGACUGAACCCCAAGAAGAACAACUGACUUAAGAGAGGGAACUGAAGCUUCAUUUAUCCAAACUUCACAAAUCCUAUUGCUGCCUUCAAACUAAGAGCACAGGUAAUGUCUCCUUCAGGCAUAUAGUUUUCUUAAUCACUCUCUCAAUGUUCAGUCCCACAGGAUAUAAUGCCCUGCUCCAGCAGAGACUAUUAAAUUGAAAUGGAACUAGAUGCCAUAAAACUGAGAAGGGAGUCCUAUCUCUACCAGAGUUAUUUGUGCAGAUUUGGCCAAGGCAUGCCAAAUGACUUAAAUCUAUUUUUUUAAUCAAUUUCAUAGACUUGGGAGACAGACAAUAUAAGCAAAUGUACCAGGUGAACUAUAAAGGAUUAUACUACAUUAUACAUCUGAUUCAUUCAUUCAUUUAAUCAUUCAUAAGAAAUCCUAUGGUCACUGUGUACAUUGGGUUAAAAUGUAAAGUCUUGAACCAUCUCUGGUCAACUCUUACCUCAAGCACUAACUAGCUAUAUGAGCUUAAAUUGUUUUUUGUAUUGGUACCUUCAUCUCCUUAUCUGGAAAAUGGAACUAGUAAUAGACUUGUGAGAAUAAACAUACAAUGCAAUGAGGAUAAAAAUGUAAAAUGGGGAAAACAAAAAGGAUUGUUAUGAGGAGCAAAUAUGCUAGUACCUGUAAGGAAACUUUCAUUAUGGUUUAAUAUGCAGGUGUCAUUGUUAGUGAAGUCAUGACCUUCACCACUGUCACCAUCACCAGUAUCAUUAUCAGUAAGAUAACUAAAGCCAUAAGGAUUCUUUAAGUGAUGGAAUCCUCAGAGCGUUCUAAUAAGAUUAAACAAAAACCUGACCUCUAGUUUUAACAAACGUAGCAUCAUUGUUUUCUGUGGAUAUGUAGAUAGACAUCUAUAAGAAUGAACUGAUAAAACUAAUCGCUGUUUUAUCCUUUUUAAACACUUGAUAAAAUGACACACAGAUGCACAUGAUGUUUAUAGAGCUAAAUUCCAUUCUUAUGAAAGCACUGCUUAUGAAAAUAUUAUUCUAGAAUAGUUUUUAAAUGACAAGCAGAGUUCAUGAAGUCUCUUACUCAGAUCUCUCCAAGCCAACACAUUAUCUUUCCCCCAUUAAAGAGCUUUGGACCAUCUGUCUCAUCCAGGCUACCAGCUGCCAUGAUCUCCAGAAAUAUCUCCUCAAUUGUAGGUAUUAAUUAGGUUUUUCCAUAAGAACAAAUUAUAGAUUAUUUAUAUUUACAAAUAGAAAAUGUUAAAUCCACAGUCUCUGUGGCAGGUGACUUGAUUUUGGUAAUGAAGAAGGCUCUCGCCGGCAGGUCCUUUGGGAGGUUGAAAUGUCUCUACUAUCAAAGCUAUUGCUGGUGCAAACUUCUGUUCUCAUCCAAAAUCAAAUCUAAAAUUAUGAUGUCAUUUAACAAGUGAGGUAACAGAAACCGACUAUGGGUUAGGAAGACAUUACAAUGGAAAGAAACCUGAUGAAUGGGCACAAAAAAAUGUACCUUAACACAGUAUAUAUCACAAUGUUAUACAAAGCACUCAUCAUGCAGUGAACUAUUUAUAGCUAUAGUGACUCUGAAUACCCAGGGACAUUCGAUUCAAUCUUAGGAAUUCAACAACCAAGCUAUAAUACAAUUUGUCUUUGGAUGGGAAACAGUUAAAAAGAAGAGGAAGUAAUUAGGAAACUGAAAAGGUGAAAGACCCUCCACCCUUGCCCCAAUCCAAUAAAAUGCCUAAUAGAAAGGCAUAGGCUGAAGGUUUGGACUUUCAAAGUCAGCUGAUGAUAUCUCCUCCACGGCACUCCUACCCUAUCCUCCAGCAUACAGCCCCUUCUUCAUUCUCUCCUGAACCCUCAACCUUGGAAGUCCCUUACUAUUGUCUCAUCCUCCUGCCAUCCUCUCUGUGUAGGAUUUCCUAUGAGGAACUGCAUCUGUCUGUCUGCUCUUCACAUCCUACUCCUUUAAGUAUCACUUGAUCUCCAGGCGUCCAUCAGAAAUACUCUGUGCCUGACUCUCAGAUUUCCUGGGUUCGGAUCUUGGCUUUGUCACUACCACUUGACCUUGGGAAAUGUGUUUGACCUUCUCACGCUCAGUUUCCUUAUCUGUAGAUGGAGAAUAAUAGUAACUGAGACUAAAUGAUGGCAUUUAAUCUUGGAAAGCUGCUGUGAGAAUUAAUAAAUUGAUACAUAAAAUUCUUGGAAAAAUGUGUCACAACAAGCACUUGAUAGAUGCUAGCUGCUGCUAUUAUUAUUAUUACUAUUAUUAUUUCCUAGUAUCCAAUGCUGACUCUUUUUUUUCUUCUCUCCUUGUGGUUCCUUUGCUCUUAAUGCCUUUAAUUCCAAUCCCACAUGUCAACAACAUUGCCCAUCCAUCAAAUACCAGGACAACUACCACUUCUUCCAUCACUGUCCCUUGUUUUCUCAACCAAAAAGCAUCAAUCCCUCUUCUGAAACCCCUAAUGGUUAACCCAAAAUGUUGUCAUGUGCUUCUUCAUUUCUGUGUUAUAAUCCAGAGAUUCAUAUACAUCUUGUCAUAUUUAUAAGCCUGUGCAUCCUCGGAAAGCAGGUGCUGGAGAGCUGGCCUCAUCAACUGAGAACCCAUGGAAAGUCCAAAAUGGAUCUGAGCUGUUCAGGACAGUAGUCACUAGUCACAUGGAGCUUUUAAGUUUUAAUUAAUUAAAAUGACAUAAAAUUAAUUCAGGUCUUCAGUCUCAUUAGCCAAAUUAUAGAUAGUCAAUAAGCCACUUGUAAGAACUGGCUCCUGUAUUAGAUAGCACAGAUAUGGGCCAUUUCUAUCAUCACAGAAACUCCUAUUAGACACUGUUACAAUAGAUGGUACUCAAAUAAAUAGAUGUUACAUGAUUUUUAGAGCCCCUCUGGAUUUUAGAAUUAGUAUUCUCCCAAAAACUCUAUUUCAUCAUAAGAUUUUAUCAAACAAACGCUCUAAAUGAAAAUAAGGCUUACAUCAUCAAGAUAACUUAUCAAAAUUUCUAGUAUCAGCAGUAGUGAGGACAGAACCAGUUCCUUAUUGUAGUCAGCCUAGCCAAAGAACAUAACAGGGAAAAGCCAUCGCCCUCUUUCAGAAUGACGGGAAGACAAACUGAUUCUAGAAUGACCAGUCUUUCAAACCAUAGCUAAUCCAUACAAAAUGCAUGCCAGGAGAUGGCCUACAAACACAUGCAAGGAUGCUCAACAUCACUAAUUAUUAGAGAAAUGCAAAUCAAAACUACAGUGAGGUGUCGCUGUAUGCCCAGUUAGCAUGCCCAUCAUCAAAAAGUCUGCAAACAAUAAAUGCUGGAGAGGGUGUGGAGAAAAGAGAACCCUCCUACACUAUUGGUAGGAAUGUAAUUUGGUGUAACCACUAUGGAGGAGACUAUAGAGGUUCCUUCAAAAACUAAAAACAGAACCACUAUAUGACUCAACAAUCCCUCUCCUGGGCAUCUAUCCAGAAAAAAAACAUAAUUUGAAAAGAUACAUGUACCCCAAUGUUCACUGCAGCACUAUUUAUAGUAGUCAAGUCAUGGAAGCAAUCUAAAUGUCCAUCAAAAGAGGAAUGAAUAAAGAAGAUGUGGUAUGUAUAUAUGCAGUGGAAUAAUAUUCAGCCACUUGCAGCAACAUGGAUGGACCUAGAGAUUAUCACGCAAGUGAAGUAAGUCAGACAGAGGAAGGCAAAUGCCACAUCACUUAUAUGGGGAAUCUAAUAAAAUGCUACAAAAGAACUUACUUAAAAAACAGAAACAAACUCACAGAUUUCAAACACAGUCUGGUUACCACAGGUGAAACCUUGGGAGGGAGGGAAGAAUUGGGAGUAUGGAAAUAAUAUACCCACACUACCAUAUAAAAUAGAUGAUUAACAAGAACCUACUGUACAGCACAGGGAAAUCUACUCAAUAGUUUGCAAUAACCUAUAUGGGAAAAAUAAUGGAUAUAUUUAUAGGUAUGACUGAUUCACUUUGCUAUACACCCAAAACUAAUACAACAUUGUAA
This 5347-nucleotide long non-coding RNA is filed under the name Sus scrofa (pig). RNAcentral describes it as "lncRNA (ENSSSCG00050031836.1)". The record is from RNAcentral. Lineage: Eukaryota; Metazoa; Chordata; Mammalia; Artiodactyla; Suidae.